RNAcentral lists this ribosomal RNA (128 nucleotides) under Cavia porcellus (domestic guinea pig). Lineage: Eukaryota; Metazoa; Chordata; Mammalia; Rodentia; Caviidae. The record is from RNAcentral.
GUUCAAGACUAUACUGCCCUGAACACAUUCCGUUUCUUCUGAUCUAGGAAGUAAGCAGGGUCAAGCCUGGUUUGUAUUUGGAUGGAAGAAAAAUAUUUACCUAACAAUGUGAAAACCAAUAUCAAAUU